This 509-nucleotide ribosomal RNA is filed under the name uncultured bacterium. Its description in RNAcentral is "partial 16S ribosomal RNA". It matches the Rfam family "Bacterial small subunit ribosomal RNA", at positions 28 to 523 of the family's 1533-position model. The record is from RNAcentral.
GACGAACGCUGGCGGCGUGCCUAACACAUGCAAGUGGAGCGACGAACCAGGGCUUGCCCUGGGGCCAAGCCGCGAACGGGUGAGUAACACGUGGGUAACCUGCCCCGAUGACCGGGACAACUCGAGGAAACUCGGGCUAAUACCGGAUGUACUCCUCGCACAGACGUGCAAGGAGGAAAGGAAGCUUCCGCCGCCGCUGCGGGAGGGGCCCGCGGCCCAUUAGCUAGUUGGUGAGGUAACGGCUCACCAAGGCAACGACGGGUAGCUGGUCUGAGAGGACGAUCAGCCACACUGGGACUGAGACACGGCCCAGACUCCUACGGGAGGCAGCAGUGGGGAAUCUUGCGCAAUGCGCGAAAGCGUGACGCAGCAACGCCGCGUGGGGGAAGAAGGCCUUCGGGUUGUAAACCCCUUUCAGGAGGGACGAAGGUAGGGCAGUGAACAGCUGUCCCUACUGACGGUACCUCCAGAAGAAGCCCCGGCUAACUACGUGCCAGCCGCCGCCGUAA